This is a non-coding RNA of Schizosaccharomyces pombe (fission yeast), 363 nucleotides long. NCBI's taxonomy places the organism in Eukaryota, Fungi, Ascomycota, Schizosaccharomycetes, Schizosaccharomycetales, Schizosaccharomycetaceae. The record is from the annotation of a GenBank genome assembly.
AUUCCACCACCAAAAAAGGAAGCAAACAAGUCAUCAGCAGACAUACCACCAUCGGCACCACCACCUUGUAAACCUUCUUCACCAAAACGAUCAUAAGUAGCACGUUUCUCUUCAUCAGCAAGAAUUUCAUAAGCACGGCUAAUUUCCUUAAACUUAUCGCCGGCAUUAGGGUUUUUGUCGGGAUGAUAUUUUAAAGCAAGCUUGCGGUAAGCUUUCUUCAAUUCAGCUUGAGAAGCAGUGACAUCAACGUUCAAGACUUCGUAUAGUUUAGUUUCUUUCACCAUUAUGCUUGUAAUAUAUGUAAGGAGAACAAAAACGACAGUGGAAGAAAGGGGGUAAAUAAAAAAGAAAUUGGAAUAUUAA